This 471-nucleotide ribosomal RNA is filed under the name uncultured bacterium. Its description in RNAcentral is "bacterial SSU rRNA". It matches the Rfam family "Bacterial small subunit ribosomal RNA", at positions 328 to 793 of the family's 1533-position model. The record is from RNAcentral.
CUCUGUGACUCCUACGGGAGGCAGCAGUGGGAAUUUUGGACAAUGGGCGAAAGCCUGAUCCAGCAAUGCCGCGUGUGUGAAGAAGGCCUUCGGGUUGUAAAGCACUUUCAGUUGUGAGGAAGGUGGUGUCGUUAAUAGCGGCAUCAUUUGACGUUAGCAACAGAAGAAGCACCGGCUAACUCCGUGCCAGCAGCCGCGGUAAUACGGAGGGUGCGAGCGUUAAUCGGAAUUACUGGGCGUAAAGCGCAUGCAGGUGGUUUGUUAAGUCAGAUGUGAAAGCCCGGGGCUCAACCUCGGAACUGCAUUUGAAACUGGCAGACUAGAGUACUGUAGAGGGGGUAGAAUUUCAGGUGUAGCGGUGAAAUGCGUAGAGAUCUGAAGGAAUACCGGUGGCGAAGGCGGCCCCCUGGACAGAUACUGACACUCAGAUGCGAAAGCGUGGGGAGCAAACAGGAUUAGAUACCCUGGUAG